This 891-nucleotide ribosomal RNA is filed under the name Triticum aestivum (bread wheat). Its description in RNAcentral is "partial small subunit ribosomal RNA". Lineage: Eukaryota; Viridiplantae; Streptophyta; Magnoliopsida; Poales; Poaceae. The record is from RNAcentral.
CUAGAGCUCCCUUCGGGGUUCAGGUUCCACCCUACCGAGGAGGAUAUCAUCACCUCGUACCCGGUCCCCAAGGUGCUCAACCCAACCUUCAUCGCGAUAGCGAUCGGGGAGGUAGAUCUGAAUAAGAACGAGCCAUAUGAGCUUCCCAAGAAGGCAAAGAUGGGGGAGAAGGAGUGGUACUUCUACUGUCAGAAGGACCGCAAGUAUCUCAUGGGGAUACGGACCAACCGGGCCACGAAAGCCGGCUACUGGAAGGCCACGGGCAAGGACAAGGAGAUCUUCCACCCAACGCCCACUCUCAUCGGCAUGAAGAAGACACUCGUGUUCUACAAGGGCAGGGCGCCUAGGGGGGAGAAGACCAACUGGGUCAUGCACGAGUACAGGCUUGAGAUCAGCAAGCAGCCUGCAUCCGGCCCAUCAACCGCCCCCAAAGCUGCCGCCAUUAAUGCAUCCUUCAAGAAGGAGCGUGUGGUUUGCAAAAUCUUCCAUAAGAACACUGGAGUCAAGAAGGUGGUGACCCCGUCGUACGCCAUGCACAUGCCCAUAUCGAUGGGAGGAGAGCCGCAACAAAGCUCCCUCAACUCUAGUACAUUUCCGCCUCCCAUGGACUAUGGCGCAUCGUUGUCGCUGGCGCCUCCGCUGUUUUUGUCUGAAGCUUCUUCGUACCAUUUGCACGCCGCCAGAGCCGGCUCGUCGAUGACGGGCAGCUUGGUGCUCCCCAUGGUGAACAACCACUACCUUGAGAACCACCACCUGAUGACGGGCGGCAACCCAAUGUUGUCCUACCAACAACAGCAGAUGAUGCAAAUGCAAAUGGGUGCAGACCAGGGCUUCAUGGUGGGGGUCUAGCCGUCGUCCAUGGUGUCCGAAGAGGACGUCGUAACCGGCUGA